Molecule: ribosomal RNA, 484 nt
Filed under: uncultured bacterium
Lineage: Bacteria
Description: partial 16S ribosomal RNA
Rfam family: Bacterial small subunit ribosomal RNA
Source: RNAcentral
AUUGAACGCUGGCGGCAGGCCUAACACAUGCAAGUCGAGCGGAUGAAGGGAGCUUGCUCCUGGAUUCAGCGGCGGACGGGUGAGUAAUGCCUAGGAAUCUGCCUGGUAGUGGGGGAUAACGUCCGGAAACGGGCGCUAAUACCGCAUACGUCCUGAGGGAGAAAGUGGGGGAUCUUCGGACCUCACGCUAUCAGAUGAGCCUAGGUCGGAUUAGCUAGUUGGUGGGGUAAAGGCCUACCAAGGCGACGAUCCGUCACUGGUCUGAGAGGAUGAUCAGUCACACUGGAACUGAGACACGGUCCAGACUCCUACGGGAGGCAGCAGUGGGGAAUAUUGGACAAUGGGCGAAAGCCUGAUCCAGCCAUGCCGCGUGUGUGAGGAAGGUCUUCGGAUUGUAAAGCACUUUAAGUUGGGAGGAAGGGCAGUAAGUUAAUACCUUGCUGUUUUGACGUUACCAACAGAAUAAGCACCGGCUAACUUCGUG